UACAGAGGGUGCAAGCGUUAAUCGGAGUUACUGGGCGUAAAGAGCACGUAGGCGGUUAAUUAAGUCAGUUGUGAAAGCCCUGGGCUUAACCUGGGAACAUCAAAUGAUACUGGUUGACUAGAGUCGAAGAGAGGGAAGCGGAAUUUCCGGUGUAGCGGUGAAAUGCGUAGAUAUCGGAAGGAACAUCAGUGGCGAAGGCGGCUUCCUGGCUUCAGACUGACGCUGAGGUGCGAAAGCGUGGGGAGCAAACAGG
RNAcentral lists this ribosomal RNA (253 nucleotides) under uncultured bacterium. RNAcentral describes it as "partial 16S ribosomal RNA". It matches the Rfam family "Bacterial small subunit ribosomal RNA", at positions 524 to 776 of the family's 1533-position model. The record is from RNAcentral.